UACCGUUGAAUAUGUUCGGCAUAACCAUUCAAUUUAGAUGGUUAUGCCGUUGAAUAUGUUCAGCAUAAACAUUUAACUUAGAUGUUGAUGCCGUUGAAUAUAAUCGCCAUAACCAUUCAACUUAGAUGGUUAUGCCGUUGACUGUCUUCGGCAUAACCAUUCAACUUGGAUGGUUAUGCCGUUGACUGUCUUCGGCAUAGUUAAGUUAUCUGGGGUCGAAAAGUUAACUCGGGUCGAAAAGUUAAGACUAUAUAUAGCCUUACUUUUUGUCGAUUUUCACCCGUUUUUCA
Non-coding RNA from Paramuricea clavata, 290 nucleotides. The record is from the annotation of a GenBank genome assembly. Lineage: Eukaryota; Metazoa; Cnidaria; Anthozoa; Malacalcyonacea; Plexauridae.